Molecule: ribosomal RNA, 332 nt
Filed under: Puma concolor (puma)
Lineage: Eukaryota; Metazoa; Chordata; Mammalia; Carnivora; Felidae
Description: partial large subunit ribosomal RNA
Rfam family: Bacterial large subunit ribosomal RNA
Source: RNAcentral
UUUACUGUCUCUUACUUCCAAUCCGUGAAAUUGACCUUCCCGUGAAGAGGCGGGAAUACAACAAUAAGACGAGAAGACCCUAUGGAGCUUUAAUUAACCGACCCAAAGAGACCCAUUAAUUUAACCGACAGGAACAACAAACCUCUGUAUGGGCCGACAAUUUAGGUUGGGGUGACCUCGGAGAACAGAACAACCUCCGAGUGAUUUAAAUCAAGACUAACCAGUCGAAAGUAUUACAUCACUUAUUGAUCCAAAAGUUUGAUCAACGGAACAAGUUACCCUAGGGAUAACAGCGCAAUCCUAUUUCAGAGUCCAUAUCGACAAUAGGGUUU